This 924-nucleotide ribosomal RNA is filed under the name uncultured organism. RNAcentral describes it as "bacterial SSU rRNA". It matches the Rfam family "Bacterial small subunit ribosomal RNA", at positions 1 to 917 of the family's 1533-position model. The record is from RNAcentral.
UGGAUCCAGACUUUGAUCAUGGCUCAGGAUGAACGCUAGCUACAGGCUUAACACAUGCAAGUCGAGGGGAAACGAUAUUGGAAGCUUGCUUCCGAUAGGCGUCGACCGGCGCACGGGUGAGUAACGCGUAUCCAACCUGCCCAUCACUUGGGGAUAACCUUGCGAAAGUAAGACUAAUACCCAAUGACGUCUCUAGAAGACAUCUGAAAGAGAUUAAAGAUUUAUCGGUGAUGGAUGGGGAUGCGUCUGAUUAGCUUGUUGGCGGGGUAACGGCCCACCAAGGCAACGAUCAGUAGGGGUUCUGAGAGGAAGGUCCCCCACAUUGGAACUGAGACACGGUCCAAACUCCUACGGGAGGCAGCAGUGAGGAAUAUUGGUCAAUGGACGAGAGUCUGAACCAGCCAAGUAGCGUGCAGGAUGACGGCCCUAUGGGUUGUAAACUGCUUUUAUAAGGGAAUAAAGUGGGAGUCGUGACUCCUUUUGCAUGUACCUUAUGAAUAAGGACUGGCUAAUUCCGUGCCAGCAGCCGCGGUAAUACGGAAGGUCCGGGCGUUAUCCGGAUUUAUUGGGUUUAAAGGGAGCGUAGGCCGGAGAUUAAGCGUGUUGUGAAAUGUAGAUGCUCAACAUCUGCACUGCAGCGCGAACUGGUUUCCUUGAGUACGCACAAAGUGGGCGGAAUUCGUGGUGUAGCGGUGAAAUGCUUAGAUAUCACGAAGAACUCCGAUUGCGAAGGCAGCUCACUGGAGCGCAACUGACGCUGAAGCCCGAAAGUGCGGGUAUCGAACAGGAUUAGAUACCCUGGUAGUCCGCACGGUAAACGAUGGAUGCCCGCUGUUGGUCUGAAUAGGUCAGCGGCCAAGCGAAAGCAUUAAGCAUCCCACCUGGGGAGUACGCCGGCAACGGCAACUCAAAGGAAUUGACGGA